Molecule: unclassified non-coding RNA, 214 nt
Filed under: plant metagenome
Description: partial contains small subunit ribosomal RNA and internal transcribed spacer 1
Rfam family: Eukaryotic small subunit ribosomal RNA (bases 1-46)
Source: RNAcentral
AAGUCGUAACAAGGUUUCCGUAGGUGAACCUGCGGAAGGAUCAUUUCGAAUUAUAAGCGAGGGUUGUCGCUGGGCCUCUUUCGGGCAUGUGCACGCCCGAGCUCUAAAUCCCACAACACACCUGUGAAACCCCACCCGUAGGCCUUCGGGCUUAUGUAUAUAUCUCUGAAUGUGUCAUAGAAUGUUCAUGUUGCCUUAAAACGCAUCAAUACAA